RNAcentral lists this unclassified non-coding RNA (206 nucleotides) under Hevea brasiliensis (rubber tree). Lineage: Eukaryota; Viridiplantae; Streptophyta; Magnoliopsida; Malpighiales; Euphorbiaceae. The record is from RNAcentral.
GAGAAAGAUAAUUGCUCCCGGCAAAAUCGUGCAAUGAACGAUGAGCUCUUGGUCCUUCAUAAUCAGGCUUGCCAAAUUCUUCCUUCAUCAAUCUUUUGCACUCAUCAGUAUCCUGUAGAAACUGUACCAUUUGCUCUUCAAUAGUUUCAUGCAUUACUAAGGUUUCAACAUGAAUAGGACGAGUAGCACCCAUCCGAUGAGCACGA